GUCGUCGACGACGAAGAUCUCAUCUCCUACAUCAUUGCCGGCCUCGACGACACGUAUGAACCGGUGAUCUCCUCAAUCGUCGGCAAAUCUGAGCCGAUGUCCUUCGGGGAGGCUUUCUCUCAACUGCUCAGCUUUGAGC
Oryza sativa (Asian cultivated rice) is the source of this 139-nucleotide small nucleolar RNA. It matches the Rfam family "Small nucleolar RNA Z247". From Rfam's summary of the family: Z247 is a member of the C/D class of snoRNA which contain the C (UGAUGA) and D (CUGA) box motifs. Most of the members of the box C/D family function in directing site-specific 2'-O-methylation of substrate RNAs. Lineage: Eukaryota; Viridiplantae; Streptophyta; Magnoliopsida; Poales; Poaceae. The record is from Rfam.